Solenopsis invicta (red fire ant) is the source of this 4020-nucleotide RNA transcript. RefSeq lists it as uncharacterized. NCBI's taxonomy places the organism in Eukaryota, Metazoa, Arthropoda, Insecta, Hymenoptera, Formicidae. The record is from RefSeq and is a predicted model, not a curated record. The transcript has 2 exons.
CUUAUUUUUUUGAAAAUUAUUAAAUGUACUUUUUAAAAUUCUAUUUAUUAUAAAACUUUAUUAGUGUUUUAAAAAAUAAAAUAAUUUUAGCUUUAUUUAGACUAGGUAUCCUACUUAGGUUAUGUCCUAUGAGUAGCGUUUACAAGUGGUCCGAAACGUUCCCAGGUAACAAAAGUAGGAAGCGCAACUAGUAGAUGAAUAAUAUUUUUAAAUUCUUUGUGCAUAGUAAAGUAAACAAAGACUCUACCCGUUUCUUUACUUCGUGUGUAUACAACAAGGUUUCUUUAAUUCUUCUACGAUUAGUGUCUCAAUAAUUUCCCUCUCAUAGUAAGCUACAUGCAUCCUACAAUAUAUGACUUUUUAGAAUGUCAUAUUUUUAUUCCGAUUAGGAAUAUAUAAACCCGAUAGCCGUAUGUAUAUAAUUUCUAACACUUGUAGAACAUAAUAAAAGUUGGCUACAUUUUUACUAAUAUAAGGUAGCUGUAUUAAACUGAUGUAGUGUCAUUUUAGUCACUACAUGUUGAGAACAGCUAUUUAACUACCGUAGGACUGUACACGCUAUUGCACGCGUGCACAUAUCCGUAGCAUGCAAGAUUUCAUUAUAAUAUCGUGCUACUGCUGUGGAUUAGCGAAGCAUCAUUAUUCUUAUUAUACAUUGAUGGAAUAUAUCCAACUAUCAUAGGUCUCUACGCCUUUUUAUAGUGUAUAUGGAUCCCUAGCAUACAGUAUUUCAUCAAUAUAUCGCGCUAUUGUUAUUGAUAAUCGAAGCAUCUUUUUAGGCUAUACACAAUUCUAUUACGUAUAUAUUUCACUUAAGUAUCGUUAUUCUUUUUUCUUGCGUAAAUAGUAAAGGGCUCCAUUUUGUUUUUGUUUCUAUCUGAGUGAAAGAAACCAAAAACUUCUCAUUUUCAGUAGCACCGUAGAAAGCGUCACGAACGGAUAAGACGACUUUAUUUCGAUUAAAAUUAUAAAAUGAAUAGUACCAAUAAACUUCCAAAACGAAGCCGGAAAAAUUUUGAUUUAUUAUCGAAUAAACAAAAAAGAAUUCGCCAACAAGCGCAUUAUAAUGUGAUUAGAAGUGCCGCCGAAUGUACACCAAGUACAUCUUCAAAUCAGUCAAUUAUCAAAGACUGUGCAGUUAGUGCAUUAAGUAGUAAGUAUGAUAACAAGACAAUAAGUGCGAGUGACAAUAAUUUUCAUGAAGAAACUGAUGAUGACGGUGAUAUUGAUAAAGAUAUCAAUGUGUGUGUUGACCGAGACAACGAUGAUUCUUUUCACAGCAGUACUAGUGAUGACGAUUAUUAUGAUGAUAACGACAAUUAUAAUAGUGAUCAUAAUAAUUCAAAUAAUGCAUUCGUCAAUACUCAAUUUACUACUGACUUAGCCAGGAUGUGUGUUAAAACCAAAAUGACUCACGUUCAGAUUAACGGAAUAUUAUCUGUUCUUAGAGAACAUAACUAUCAUCAUCGGCAGUUACCGAAAGAUGCUCGAACUCUGUUAAAUACUCCUACAAAGUGCACAGACAUAAAGGUUCUCAAUCCUGGUCAUUAUCUUCAUAUUGGUAUUGCUACAAACAUUGUUAUGAAAUUAAAAAACAUACCAAUCAGUGACGAAAUACCUCGUAUAUUACUUAUAGACUUUUCUACCGAUGGUGCCAAUAUUUAUAAUAAUGUUCGUUGCGACGUAUGGCCGAUACAAUUCCGAAUAAUAAAUAUAACCGAUAAACGUCCAAUGAUAGCAGGCCUUUAUCAAGGAAAAAAACAACCUAGUGAUUUCAAAGACUUUCUCGCUGAUUUCAAUAAGGAAAUCAUCGAAUUAAUAAAUACAGGAUUAAUAUUUAAUGGACAAAAUAUUAAGUUACAAUUAAAUGCAUUUAUUGCUGACACUCCAGCAAAACACCAUUGUCUUAAUAUUAAAGGUCAUGGUGGUUAUUACAGCUGCCCUAAAUGCAAAAUUCGUGGAGAACGUCAUAAGAACGACCGUACUCAUGUGUAUAAAGGAAUAGGCUACGCUCUUAGGACCGAUCAAGAAUUCAUUUGUUUUCAGAAUAAUUCUGGGAAUAAUGACGACGGACAUUAUAAUGGGAUUUCGGCUCUGUACAAUUUGCCCAUGGGAUUAGUGAGUCAAGUACCAAUUGACUAUAUGCAUUUAGUGUGUCUUGGAGUUGUCAAGAAAACUUUAGUGGAUGCGUGGAUCGAAGGAAAACACAAGACAAGACCAUUAAAUGUAGAGACGAAAAACUGUAUUUCCGAACGUUUGUUAACAAUAGCUACACACUGCCCAAAAGAAUUUGCACGUCGUCCACGAAGUUUAAAUGACUGUCAUCGAUUUAAAGCAACAGAAUGUCGACAAUUUUUAUUGUAUACAUCAACGACCGUAUUAUUAGAUUUAUUUGGAAAUGAUACUAGGAUAUUACAUUUUGUUAAACUGCAUUGUGCUAUUCGUCUCUUAAUCAAGUCAAACCCGAACGACAAUGAAAUUGAUAAAGCACAGAAAUUAUUAGAAGCAUUUGUUUGCGAUUGCAUCGAAAUUUACGGACGAAAUUAUUUAUCAUACAAUGUACAUUGUUUAAUUCAUCUCGCUGAAGAUGUUCGUAGAUUUGGCCCUCUGGAUCAUUUUUCAUGCUUUCCAUUCGAAAAUAACAUGACAUUUUUUCGAAAAAUUAUUAGAAGUCGAACGAAGGAAUUGAUUCAAAUUUAUAAUCGCUACGAAGAAUAUAAAAUUAAUGAUGCAAUAUCUCCUACAUUAUUUAAAUCAAGUAAAAUAAUUACCGCCUAUAGCCCGAAAAAAAGUAUCACAGAAAAUAAUAAACCUGUUAUAAUAACAAAUGAAUUAUUACUGCAAUUUCAUAAGAUUAAAAUUAAUAAUUUUACGUAUGAUUUAGGUAAUAAAAAUAACUGCUGUAUUUUACAUGACGGUAGAAUUAUUAUCAUUGAUAAUAUUUUGCAAUACAGUGACAGCACCUAUCGGCUUGUAGGUAGAAAAUUUAAUAAAAUUGAGCCUCUUUAUGUAAUCGAUGAAAAUUUAAAUUCAAUGCAUGUUGAUAUUUUUAAAUGUAGCGAAUUAGGAAAUAUAUAUUUAGAUAUUUUACCGAAUGACAUUAAAUAUAAAGCGUACAAAAUGCCUUUUUGGAAAAAUUGCGAAAAAUGUUUUGAGGCUAAUAUGUUUGUUGUUGCAGCAAUUUACGAUGAUGAAUGGCUGCAUUAAAUGAAUAUAAACAUAUGUGUAACAUAUGUGUAAAAGUAUGAUAAAUAUGUAAAACAAAAUUUCAAAAAUAUUCAAUUUUCAAAUAAAAAUAAUAUAUUUACCUUUAUAAUUAAAAUCAUUAUUUACAAAUAACAUCGAUCAUUUCAAGCGCUCUUUCGCUCCUUUCUAUUCCCUCCCUUCACUCGCUUGUUCUCACUUGUUCUCAAAGUCUUGAAGCGAGGCGCGACGAGGAACGAGAGCGGAGCGAAUCACGAGCGUUCCGCAAUUGUCGUUGCAUGGAGAUUAAGGCUUAUGCCAGAUGAAAGACACGGCCCUGUCGAAAAAAUGAGUGGCGCUACGCACGUGUACAGUAGGCGGGCAUCUUUUGUCGGGACCGCGUCUUCUACCUCUGAUUUUACAUCUCUGAUUCGGAUGCGGAGUGAGUCAGUGAGUGUUUUCUUCGAGUAUUAUUGUGUACGCAAUAGAGAAAGAGUGAUUAUUUAUUGGAAUUUUCUUUAAACGGGAGGCGAUCCUAAUACAUCAGCUAGCCGCGAAGAGCCACGAGACAAAGAACAUCGGGCCCCUUUCUUUUUAUGAAGCUAAGAAUCGACUGUGAAAGAGGAAUCACUCGUCCCUUCGGAAGUGCAAUUUUUACAAGCAACUGUGUCUUACGUUAUGGAGCCUCAAGGUCCUCAAGUCAGACUCGUAGAAAAAAAUUUUUUGCUGACUGAAGAUGAUAUGUUGGACCAGCAUGUACAGGAUAUUUCAAAUUUAACUCCGGCUUCCACAAAACAUAAAAACGAAGAAUGUGAAGAAAAUUUAAAUCCAAAAAGA